RNAcentral lists this ribosomal RNA (467 nucleotides) under uncultured bacterium. RNAcentral describes it as "partial 16S ribosomal RNA". It matches the Rfam family "Bacterial small subunit ribosomal RNA", at positions 28 to 507 of the family's 1533-position model. The record is from RNAcentral.
GACGAACGCUGGCGGCGUGCUUAACACAUGCAAGUCGAACGGAAAGGCCCUGCUUUUGUGGGUGCUCGAGUGGCGAACGGGUGAGUAACACGUGAGUAACCUGCCCUUGACUUUGGGAUAACUUCAGGAAACUGGGGCUAAUACCGGAUAGGAGCUCCUGCUGCAUGGUGGGGGUUGGAAAGUUUCGGCGGUUGGGGAUGGACUCGCGGCUUAUCAGCUUGUUGGUGGGGUAGUGGCUUACCAAGGCUUUGACGGGUAGCCGGCCUGAGAGGGUGACCGGCCACAUGGGGACUGAGAUACGGCCCAGACUCCUACGGGAGGAAGCAGUGGGGAAUAUUGCACAAUGGGCGGAAGCCUGAUGCAGCAACGCCGCGUGCGGGAUGACGGCCUUCGGGUUGUAAACCGCUUUCGCCUGUGACGAAGCGUGAGUGACGGUAAUGGGUAAAGAAGCACCGGCUAACUACGUG